This 1083-nucleotide ribosomal RNA is filed under the name Vibrio vulnificus. Its description in RNAcentral is "bacterial SSU rRNA". It matches the Rfam family "Bacterial small subunit ribosomal RNA", at positions 460 to 1533 of the family's 1533-position model. Lineage: Bacteria; Pseudomonadati; Pseudomonadota; Gammaproteobacteria; Vibrionales; Vibrionaceae. The record is from RNAcentral.
CACUAUCAUUUGACGUUAGCGACAGAAGAAGCACCGGCUAACUCCGUGCCAGCAGCCGCGGUAAUACGGAGGGUGCGAGCGUUAAUCGGAAUUACUGGGCGUAAAGCGCAUGCAGGUGGUUUGUUAAGUCAGAUGUGAAAGCCCGGGGCUCAACCUCGGAACUGCAUUUGAAACUGGCAGACUAGAGUACUGUAGAGGGGGGUAGAAUUUCAGGUGUAGCGGUGAAAUGCGUAGAGAUCUGAAGGAAUACCGGUGGCGAAGGCGGCCCCCUGGACAGAUACUGACACUCAGAUGCGAAAGCGUGGGGAGCAAACAGGAUUAGAUACCCUGGUAGUCCACGCUGUAAACGAUGUCUACUUGGAGGUUGUGGCCUUGAGCCGUGGCUUUCGGAGCUAACGCGUUAAGUAGACCGCCUGGGGAGUACGGUCGCAAGAUUAAAACUCAAAUGAAUUGACGGGGGCCCGCACAAGCGGUGGAGCAUGUGGUUUAAUUCGAUGCAACGCGAAGAACCUUACCUACUCUUGACAUCCAGAGAAUCUAGCGGAGACGCUGGAGUGCCUUCGGGAACUCUGAGACAGGUGCUGCAUGGCUGUCGUCAGCUCGUGUUGUGAAAUGUUGGGUUAAGUCCCGCAACGAGCGCAACCCUUAUCCUUGUUUGCCAGCGAGUAAUGUCGGGAACUCCAGGGAGACUGCCGGUGAUAAACCGGAGGAAGGUGGGGACGACGUCAAGUCAUCAUGGCCCUUACGAGUAGGGCUACACACGUGCUACAAUGGCGCAUACAGAGGGCGGCCAACUUGCGAAAGUGAGCGAAUCCCAAAAAGUGCGUCGUAGUCCGGAUUGGAGUCUGCAACUCGACUCCAUGAAGUCGGAAUCGCUAGUAAUCGUGGAUCAGAAUGCCACGGUGAAUACGUUCCCGGGCCUUGUACACACCGCCCGUCACACCAUGGGAGUGGGCUGCAAAAGAAGUGGGUAGUUUAACCUUCGGGAGGACGCUCACCACUUUGUGGUUCAUGACUGGGGUGAAGUCGUAACAAGGUAGCGCUAGGGGAACCUGGCGCUGGAUCACCUCCUUAUACGAUGAU